CAAUUUGUGUCGUCAUAAAAUGGCGGGAGGAAUGUAACUUCUCCGGAAGUGUUAUGGCCUCUGGUAGAUGUGACAACUGAGAUUGAGGAUUGCAACGAAUACCCUCUGGGCUACUUGUCUGGCCUCUGGUCGUCGCUUUGGUGCCGAAAGCGUGCUUAUGGUAUUAAAGUAGGUGGUCAAAAGGUUAGAACGGGUUAAAUUCGUUAAGGAUGUUGACGUAAUGACUUUAAACGACCCGUCUUGAAACACGG
Molecule: ribosomal RNA, 251 nt
Filed under: Glomeraceae sp.
Lineage: Eukaryota; Fungi; Glomeromycota; Glomeromycetes; Glomerales; Glomeraceae
Description: partial large subunit ribosomal RNA
Source: RNAcentral